AAUGAUUUUUAAUUCCUUUUUUAUAAGUAAAUUAAUAUUUUAUAAGUAAAAUAAUUGAGAUUUUUGUUAGGAUAAAAGUACCGUGAGGGAAAAUGUUUACAAAAAAGAAGUAAUAUUUUGUACCUUUUGUAUCAGGGUUUGUUUAAUUUACUUUAGAAUUAAUUUUUCCCGAAAACAAAUGAUUUAUUUACUUUCAAUGUCUUUGUGUUAUAAAAUUAUUAAAAAAGUAAAUCGUUGUUAUAAAUAAUUCGUAUUUGUAUAUCUGGUUAGUUGUUUUUCUUUUUAGAAGUGAGCAAAUUUUUGCUUUAUUUAUUAGGGGAUGAGCUCUGAUAAAAUUUAAAUUAUUUUUAUUUUUAUAUAACUUUUUAGGCUUAGAAAUUGCCUCUUUGUAAUAAUUACAUUAAUUAUAACUUUAUUUAAUUAUAAUUAAAAUAUUAGCAACUUGGUUUUUAAAUUUUCUUAAUUACUUAAUAAUGAUAAAAUUAGUAGAGAAAAAAUUAUUUUUUAAAAAGAUUUAUUGGAGAAUAAUAAAUAAACUAAAAAAGGAACUCGGCAAUUUUAGUUUCCGCCUGUUUAACAAAAACAUGGCCUUUGAUAUUUUUAAGGUCUGGCCUGCCCACUGAGAUUUGAAGGGCCGUGGUAUACUGACCAUGCGAAGGUAGCAUAAUCAUUUGCCUCUUAAUUAGGGGCUGGAAUGAAGGGUUAGACGAGAAACUGACUGUCUCUUUUAGUUACUUGAAUUUAAUUAUUUGGUGAAAAAGCUAAAAUUUUCUUGGAGGACGAUAAGACCCUAUAGAUCUUUAUAGAUUUAGGUUUAACUUUUUGGUUGUUAUUAAUUUAGGCUAAAUUUUAUUUUGUUGGGGCGACAUUGAGUGACGAUAAAUCUCUCAUGAUUUUCUUACAGUAAUUAUUGAGACAUGAUCCUUUAAUGAAUUAGGAUAAAGUUACCUUAGGGAUAACAGCGUAAUUUUCUUUGAGAGUUCUAAUCGACAAGAAAGUUUGCGACCUCGAUGUUGGUUCAGGAUUCCUUUUAGGCGCAGUAGUUUAGAAAGGUAGUCUGUUCGACUAUUAAAUUCCUACGUGAUCUGAGUUCAGACCGGCGUAAGCCAGGUUAGUUUCUACCCUCAAGAUUUUAUGAUAAAAGUAGUACGAAAGGACCCUUUUAUCUUUUAUGUUUAAUAUGUUAGGUGAUAUUUUUAAGCACCAAUAC
This 1210-nucleotide ribosomal RNA is filed under the name Streptocephalus cafer. RNAcentral describes it as "16S ribosomal RNA". The stretch from base 749 to 1132 matches the Rfam family "Bacterial large subunit ribosomal RNA", at positions 2049 to 2651 of the family's 2925-position model. The record is from RNAcentral. Lineage: Eukaryota; Metazoa; Arthropoda; Branchiopoda; Anostraca; Streptocephalidae.